UACGGAGGGUCCAAGCGUUAUCCGGAAUCAUUGGGUUUAAAGGGUCCGUAGGCGGCCGAAUAAGUCAGUGGUGAAAGCCCAUCGCUCAACGAUGGAACGGCCAUUGAUACUGUUUGGCUUGAAUUAUUAGGAAGUAACUAGAAUAUGUAGUGUAGCGGUGAAAUGCUUAGAGAUUACAUGGAAUACCAAUUGCGAAGGCAGGUUACUACUAGUAUAUUGACGCUGAUGGACGAAAGCGUGGGGAGCGAACAGG
RNAcentral lists this ribosomal RNA (253 nucleotides) under uncultured bacterium. Its description in RNAcentral is "partial 16S ribosomal RNA". It matches the Rfam family "Bacterial small subunit ribosomal RNA", at positions 524 to 776 of the family's 1533-position model. The record is from RNAcentral.